AGUGAACGCUGGCGGUAGGCCUAACACAUGCAAGUCGAACGGCAGCACAGUAAGAGCUUGCUCUUACGGGUGGCGAGUGGCGGACGGGUGAGGAAUACAUCGGAAUCUACUUUUUCGUGGGGGAUAACGUAGGGAAACUUACGCUAAUACCGCAUACGACCUACGGGUGAAAGCAGGGGAUCUUCGGACCUUGCGUGAUUGAAUGAGCCGAUGUCGGAUUAGCUAGUUGGCGGGGUAAAGGCCCACCAAGGCGACGCUCCGUAGCUGGUCCGAGAGGAUGAUCAGCCACACUGGAACUGAGACACGGUCCAGACUCCUACGGGAGGCAGCAGUGGGGAAUAUUGGACAAUGGGCGCAAGCCUGAUCCAGCCAUACCGCGUGGGUGAAGAAGGCCUUCGGGUUGUAAAGCCCUUUUGUUGGGAAAGAAAAGCAGCAGGUUAAUACCCCGCUGCUCUGACGGUACCCAAAGAAUAAGCACCGGCUAACUUCGUG
RNAcentral lists this ribosomal RNA (492 nucleotides) under uncultured bacterium. Its description in RNAcentral is "partial 16S ribosomal RNA". It matches the Rfam family "Bacterial small subunit ribosomal RNA", at positions 29 to 507 of the family's 1533-position model. The record is from RNAcentral.